CCUACGGGAGGCAGCAGUGGGGAAUAUUGGGCAAUGGGCGCAAGCCUGACCCAGCAACGCCGCGUGAAGGAAGAAGGCUUUCGGGUUGUAAACUUCUUUUCUGAGGGACGAAGAAAGUGACGGUCCUUCAGGAAUAAGCCCUGGCUAACACAGUGCCAGCAGCCGCGGUAAUACGUAGGUGGCAAGCGUUAUCCGGAUUUAUUGGGUGUAAAGGGCGUGUACGCGGGAAAGCUAGUCAGAUGUGAAAACUCAGGGUUCAACCCAGAGCCUGCAUUUGAAACUGUUGUUCUUGAGUGCUGGAGAGGCAAUCGGAAUUCCGAGUGUAGCGGUGAAAUGCGUAGAUAUACGGAGGAACACCAGUGGCGAAGGCGGAUUGCUGGACAGUAACUGACGCUGAGGCGCGAAAGCGUGGGGAGCAAACAGGAUUAGAUACCCUUGUAGUC
RNAcentral lists this ribosomal RNA (443 nucleotides) under uncultured bacterium. Its description in RNAcentral is "partial 16S ribosomal RNA". It matches the Rfam family "Bacterial small subunit ribosomal RNA", at positions 338 to 795 of the family's 1533-position model. The record is from RNAcentral.